GUGCUUGCUUUGGCAGCAUAUAUACUAAAAUUGGAACAAUACAGAGAAGAUCAGCAUGGCCCCUGUGCAAGGAUGACAUGCAUAUUCAUGAAGUGUUAAAAAAUUUU
Callithrix jacchus (white-tufted-ear marmoset) is the source of this 107-nucleotide small nuclear RNA. The record is from Ensembl. NCBI's taxonomy places the organism in Eukaryota, Metazoa, Chordata, Mammalia, Primates, Cebidae.